RNAcentral lists this small nuclear RNA (18 nucleotides) under Arabidopsis thaliana (thale cress). Its description in RNAcentral is "snRNA_10035". Lineage: Eukaryota; Viridiplantae; Streptophyta; Magnoliopsida; Brassicales; Brassicaceae. The record is from RNAcentral.
UACGAGUCGGGUUGUUUG